This 316-nucleotide ribosomal RNA is filed under the name Stephanopoides sexmaculata. RNAcentral describes it as "partial 12S ribosomal RNA". Lineage: Eukaryota; Metazoa; Arthropoda; Arachnida; Araneae; Thomisidae. The record is from RNAcentral.
AAGUAGUAAAAAAUUUUUUACAAACUUAUUUAAACUGGCGGCAUUUUACUUAGUUAGAGGAAUCUGUUUAUUAAUCGAUAAUCCACGUUAAUUUUUACUUUAAAAUAUAAUUUAUAUAUCGCCAUUUUAAGAAAUAAAUUUAAUAAUUUUUUCUUAAUAAUAAUUAAAAAAUUAGGUCAAGGUGUAAUUUAUAUUAAAGGUAAAAAUGGAUUAUUUUAAAAAAAUUUAAGAAUCUAAUAAUAUUAAUUAUUAUUGAAAAAAGAUUUAAUAGUAAUAACAAAAUAAUAUUUCAUUAUAAAUAAAAUAAUAAAUGUGC